GCUGAAAUAGCUCAGUUGGGAGAGCGUUAGACUGAAAAUCUAAAGGUCCCUGGUUCAAUCAUGGGUUUCGGCA
Molecule: non-coding RNA, 73 nt
Organism: Pseudophryne corroboree (corroboree frog)
Lineage: Eukaryota; Metazoa; Chordata; Amphibia; Anura; Myobatrachidae
Source: the annotation of a RefSeq genome assembly